UUCACAAAAUUGAAUUUCAUUUCAUGUAAUUAUCCCCUACCGUUUUGAAACCCUAGCACACCCACCCCCCAUUUCAAAACCGAGCAGAGUUGCACCAGCCACCAUUUCGAAGGACUCCCAGCUGCCCACUGUUCGUCCACCGCCCUUCUAUUUCUCUCGUGCUCCCAAAUGCGCACGGCCCCCCAACACCGAAAAACCACCACCGCUCUUGCCACUGCUCGCCAGCUUUCUGGCUCUCUAUGUGACGGAAUUAGAUUUGUCUCUCAAAGGCUAGAAUUCGAUGGUGACGAGACUGGAUUUAUGGACUCUAUUUAAGCAUUGCCACGUAUAGGUUCAAGGUUUUCGGUGGUAGGGUGGUCGUGGUGUCGCGUCGCGGUGCUGUAGUGGUGGUGUCAUGGUGCGCGGUGGUGCUCUCCCGUCUCUGAAAAAAUUUGAGAUUGUUGUAAAUUUGAGAUAUGAGAUUUGUUUAUGUGAAACUGAAAAAAUUAUGUGAAAUUGAAAAAAUUCGUGUGGCAUCGAUCUGGUUAUAAUUACUAGAUUUUUUUUA
Cannabis sativa is the source of this 547-nucleotide long non-coding RNA. RefSeq lists it as uncharacterized. The transcript is spliced from 4 exons. The record is from RefSeq and is a predicted model, not a curated record. Lineage: Eukaryota; Viridiplantae; Streptophyta; Magnoliopsida; Rosales; Cannabaceae.